Molecule: ribosomal RNA, 750 nt
Filed under: uncultured bacterium
Lineage: Bacteria
Description: bacterial SSU rRNA
Rfam family: Bacterial small subunit ribosomal RNA
Source: RNAcentral
CAGGCCUAACACAUGCAAGUCGAACGGGGGAGCAAUCCCUAGUGGCGAACGGCGGAGUAAGACAUGAGGAACGUACCCUGAAGACCGGGAUAGUCAUUGGAAACGAUGGGUAAUACCGGAUGUGGCGGAAGUGUGGCAUCACAUUUCCAUUAAACGGUUUUUCGCUUCAGGAGCGCCUCAUGGCCUAUCAGGUAGUUGGUGGGGUAAUGGCCUACCAAGCCGACGACGGGUAGCGGGUCUGAGAGGAUGAUCCGCUCGAGUGGGACUGAGACACGGCCCACACACCUACGGGUGGCAGCAGUUGGGAAUCUUGCACAAGGGGGGAAACCCUGGUGCAGCGACGCCGCGUGGAGGAUGAAGGAUCUAGGUCUGUAAACUCCUUUUAUCGGGAAAGACUUAGGACGGUACCCGAUGAAUAAGCACCGGCUAACUACGUGCCAGCAGCCGCGGUGAGACGUAGGGUGCAAGCGUUGUCCGGAUUUACUGGGCGUAAAGAGCGCGUAGGCGGUCUGUUAAGUGUAGAGUGAAAGCUCCGGGCUCAACCUGGAAAUUGCUCUGCAUACUGGCAGACUUGAGGAAUGGAGAGGUUUGUGGAAUUCCUGGUGUAGCGGUGAAAUGCAUUGAUAUCAGGAGGAACACCGAUGGCGAAGGCAGCAAACUGGCCAUUAUCUGACGCUGAGGCGCGAAAGCGUGGGUAGCAAACAGGAUUAGAUACCCUGGUAGUCCACGCCCUAAACUAUGGAUACUAGA